GAGGUGGUGCGAACCAAGGUGGCGUGGGCCGUUCCAGAUCCUGCUCCAACUGCAGUCCGGGUGGCUGAACGAACAUCUUGGAUUCACGCCAGUCAAUGCAAAUUGUAUUUUUCUGUGAACAUGUUAUCAUUUAUAUGAUAAAAGGAGGGAUUGUGGGAGAAAAAUAUCAUGUAACCUAGGAUAUAUGUAUCCAGAUAUGUACAAUGCAUAUAGUUAGAAAACUGCUUGAAAGAACAAGAUGUGCUUGUGACAGAUAACCAGCAAAAAUGUAAGGGAGGGGUGAGUGCUCUGCCACAGCUUACAUCAUAUAGGCAUACGUGCAGGAGAUAAAGCAGAACAUUCCCAUUUUAUCAUAACAAGCUCAUGUGCUUGUUAUGAUAAAAAUAAUGAGUAAAUAAUAAUAAAAAAGGUUGGUUCCUCCUUAACCAGCCUAAGGAGGAAAGAUGGAUGAUAAAUCUCUCCUUGCUGUGAAAGAACUGGGUUCUUUUAAACGGGAAAGGUUGCUUGCAAGACGUCUCUCCAGGGAAUUUCCCCCACAGUCCGCACCUGGUUUGAUGGGCUUGUCUCCGUUCAGCACAUCGCUCAGGGUGAAGUCGGACGUCAGGUACUUGGGUCGUUGCCAGAACCAGAAGCGCUUGCGCCUGAUGACCAGCGACAGGGGGACCAGCUUGUCUGAGUCGUUCAGGCGGGACACUGGGAUCAGGCACCCUUCCGGGUCUAUCUCCUUGACAAGGUUACUGGUGGCCGUGGCAAACAUCUAUAGGAACAUCAGAACAUUUCAAGCAACAUAAAGGAAGCUUGUUAUGCUGUGUGCAAUGGAGUCAUGCCAACCAGACAGAGUGAGGGAGAGAUUCUGUGACAGUGCAGUUUCUCAGUACUCCAUUUAAUGAAUCAAUCUCUUUAAUUACUUGCCUCUGAAGUGUUGCUUACAGACCUAAUUAAUAAAAAAUGAAAACACAAUGA
Molecule: long non-coding RNA, 963 nt
Organism: Conger conger (European conger)
Lineage: Eukaryota; Metazoa; Chordata; Actinopteri; Anguilliformes; Congridae
Exons: 2
Source: RefSeq, a predicted model, not a curated record